GACUGCUAUCGGAUUGGUACUAAGCCAUGUGAGUCAUUGUAGCAAUACAAGGCAUACGGCUCAGUAACACGUAGUCAAUCUGCCCUAUGGACGUGGAUAACCUCGGGAAACUGAGAAUAAUCCGCGAUAGAUCAUAAUGCCUGGAACGGUUUAUGGUCCAAAUGAUUCGUCGCCAUAGGAUGGGACUGCGGCCUAUCAGCUUGUUGGUGAGGUAAUGGCCCACCAAGGCUAUUACAGGUACGGGCUCUGAGAGGAGAAGCCCGGAGAUGGGUACUGAGACACGGACCCAGGCCCUAUGGGGCGCAGCAGGCGAGAAACCUUUGCAAUGUGCGCAAGCACGACAAGGUUAAUCCGAGUGUUUCCUGCUAAAGGAAUCUUUUGUUAGUUCUAAAACCACUGAUGAAUAAGGGGUGGGCAAGUUCUGGUGUCAGCCGCCGCGGUAAAACCAGCACCUCAAGUGGUCAGGAUGGUUAUUGGGCCUAAAGCAUCCGUAGCUCGUUUUGUAAGUUUUCGGUUAAAUCCAUGCGCUUAACGUAUGGGCUGCCGGGAAUACUGCAUAACUAGGAAGUGGGAGAGGUAGACGGUACUCGGGAGGAAGGGGUAAAAUCCUUUGAUCUCUUGAUGACCACCUGUGGCGAAGGCGGUCUACCAGAACACGUUCGACGGUGAGGGAUGAAAGCUGGGGGAGCAAACCGGAUUAGAUACCCGGGUAGUCCCAGCUGUAAACUAUGCAAACUCAGUGAUGCAUUGGCUUAUGGCCAAUGCAGUGCUGCAGGGAAGCCGUUAAGUUUGCCGCCUGGGAAGUACGUACGCAAGUAUGAAACUUAAAGGAAUUGGCGGGGGAGCACCACAAGGGGUGAAGCCUGCGGUUCA
This 873-nucleotide ribosomal RNA is filed under the name uncultured archaeon. RNAcentral's name for it is "bacterial SSU rRNA". It matches the Rfam family "Archaeal small subunit ribosomal RNA", at positions 25 to 904 of the family's 1478-position model. The record is from RNAcentral.